UAAUGGGCAUGCCUGUCCGAGCGUCAUUUCAACCACUCAGGCCAACAGAGCCUGGCGUUGGGGUAUCUACAGUUGAUUGUAUGCCCUGAAAGAUAGUGGCGGUGUCCGCUAGCAUUCCGGGCGCAGUACAGUUUCUCCUCGCCCAGGGACGUUUUAGGGGCUGCCGGCCGUAAAACAGCCUAAAGCUUAGAAGGUUGACCUCGGAUCAGGUAGGACUACCCGCUGAACUUAAGCAUAUCAAUAAGCGGAGGAAAAGAAACCAACAGGGAUUGCCCUAGUAACGGCGAGUGAAGCGGCAACAGCUCAAAUUUGAAAUCUGGCCUCGGGCCCGAGUUGUAAUUUGUAGAGGAUGCUUUGGGGGUUGGCGCCUCCAGAGUUCCCUGGAAUGGGACGCCAUAGAGGGUGAGAGCCCCGUACGGUGGGAUGCCUAGCCUCUGUAAAGCUCCUUCGACGAGUCGAGUAGUUUGGGAAUGCUGCUCAAAAUGGGAGGUAAAUUUCUUCUAAAGCUAAAUACCGGCCAGAGACCGAUAGCGCACAAGUAGAGUGAUCGAAAGAUGAAAAGCACUUUGAAAAGAGGGUCAAAAAGUACGUGAAAUUGUUGAAAGGGAAGCGCUUGCGACCAGACUUGUGCCCAGUGAAUCAUCCGGCGUUUUCGCCGGUGCGCUUCACUGGGUUCAGGCCAGCAUCGGUUCUCUCAGGGCGUUAAAAACAGCGGGAAUGUGGCUCUUCAGGGAGUGUUAUAGCCCGCUGUAAAAUAUCCUUGGGGGGAUCGAGGACCGCGCUUCGGCACGGA
RNAcentral lists this ribosomal RNA (793 nucleotides) under uncultured Sordariomycetidae. RNAcentral's name for it is "eukaryotic LSU rRNA". The stretch from base 196 to 793 matches the Rfam family "Eukaryotic large subunit ribosomal RNA", at positions 1 to 611 of the family's 3401-position model. The record is from RNAcentral. Lineage: Eukaryota; Fungi; Ascomycota; Sordariomycetes.